GCGGCGGUCGCCGAGCUUGGCCAAAGGCGGCGGACUUAAGACCCGCUCCCGUAGGGGUCCGUGGGUUCAAAUCCCUCCCCUCGCA
Molecule: transfer RNA, 85 nt
Filed under: Haloferax sp. wsp5
Lineage: Archaea; Methanobacteriati; Methanobacteriota; Halobacteria; Halobacteriales; Haloferacaceae
Description: tRNA-Leu
Rfam family: tRNA
About the family: Transfer RNA (tRNA) molecules are approximately 80 nucleotides in length. Their secondary structure includes four short double-helical elements and three loops (D, anti-codon, and T loops).
Source: RNAcentral